This is a small RNA of Hafnia alvei FB1, 68 nucleotides long. It matches the Rfam family "rydB RNA". Rfam says of the family: This family consists of several bacterial sequences from E. coli, Shigella flexneri and Salmonella species. This RNA gene was discovered by an RNA screen between the ydiC and ydiH in E. coli. Lineage: Bacteria; Pseudomonadati; Pseudomonadota; Gammaproteobacteria; Enterobacterales; Hafniaceae. The record is from Rfam.
GCCCCGUUAAAGAGCUAACACCGCCGAGAGCGAGUGCCGGAGAUAAGCGCCGGGAUGGGGCAUAAGUU